RNAcentral lists this ribosomal RNA (253 nucleotides) under uncultured bacterium. RNAcentral's name for it is "partial 16S ribosomal RNA". It matches the Rfam family "Bacterial small subunit ribosomal RNA", at positions 524 to 776 of the family's 1533-position model. The record is from RNAcentral.
UACGUAGGGUGCAGGCGUUAAUCGGAAUUACUGGGCGUAAAGCGUGCGCAGGCGGCUCCUUAAGUCAGAUGUGAAAUCCCCGGGCUUAACCUGGGAACUGCGUUUGAAACUGGGGAGCUGGAGUGUAGAAGAGGGGGGUGGAAUUCCAGGUGUAGCAGUGAAAUGCGUAGAGAUCUGGAGGAACACCGAUGGCGAAGGCAGCCCCCUGGGACGGUACUGACGCUGAGGUGCGAAAGCGUGGGGAGCGAACAGG